Molecule: ribosomal RNA, 376 nt
Filed under: uncultured bacterium
Lineage: Bacteria
Description: bacterial SSU rRNA
Rfam family: Bacterial small subunit ribosomal RNA
Source: RNAcentral
UAAUACGGAGGGGGCCAGCGUUGUCCGAAGUUACUGGGCGUAAAGCGCGCGUAGGCGGGUUGCUAAGUCUGCUGUGAAAGCCCGAAGCUCAACUUCGGAGGGUCGGUGGAUACUGGCAGCCUUGAAGGUGCUAGGGAGAAGUGGAAUUACCGGUGUAGCGGUGAAAUGCGUAGAGCUCGGUAGGAACACCAGUGGCGAAGGCGGCUUCUUGGGGCACUCUUGACGCUGAGGCGCGAAAGCUGGGGGAGCGAACGGGAUUAGAUACCCCGGUAGUCCCAGCCCUAAACGAUGGAUACUAGGUGUCGGGGGUAUCGACCCCCCCGGUGCCGUCGCUAACGCAGUAAGUAUCCCGCCUGGGGAGUACGGCCGCAAGGUU